RNAcentral lists this unclassified non-coding RNA (329 nucleotides) under soil metagenome. Its description in RNAcentral is "partial contains 5.8S ribosomal RNA, internal transcribed spacer 2, and large subunit ribosomal RNA". The stretch from base 1 to 120 matches the Rfam family "5.8S ribosomal RNA", at positions 35 to 154 of the family's 154-position model. The record is from RNAcentral.
GAUGAAGAACGUAGCGAAAUGUGAUAAGUAAUGUGAAUUGCAGAAUUCAGUGAAUCAUCGAAUCUUUGAACGCACAUUGCGCCCCUUGGUAUUCCGAGGGGCAUGCCUGUUCGAGCGUCAUUAUAACCCCUCAAGCUCAGCUUGGUGUUGGGGCCUGCUGCACUGGCAGCCCUUAAAAUCAGUGGCGGCGCCAUCUGGCUCUAAGCGUAGUAAUUCUUCUCGCUAUGGAGUCCUGGUGGAUGCUUGCCAUCAACCCCCAAUUUUUCUAUGGUUGACCUCGGAUCAGGUAGGGAUACCCGCUGAACUUAAGCAUAUCAAUAAGCGGAGGA